Molecule: ribosomal RNA, 274 nt
Filed under: uncultured bacterium
Lineage: Bacteria
Description: partial 16S ribosomal RNA
Rfam family: Bacterial small subunit ribosomal RNA
Source: RNAcentral
AUACGAAGGGGGCAAGCGUUGUUCGGAAUCACUGGGCGUAAAGCGCGCGUAGGUGGAUCAAUUAGUUGAGGGUGAAAUCCCGGGGCUCAACCUCGGAACUGCCUUCAAUACUGUUGAUCUUGAGACCGAGAGAGGUGAGUGGAAUUCCUAGUGUAGAGGUGAAAUUCGUAGAUAUUAGGAAGAACACCAGUGGCGAAGGCGGCUCACUGGCUCGGUUCUGACGCUGAGGUGCGAAAGCGUGGGGAGCAAACAGGAUUAGAAACCCUAGUAGUCC